RNAcentral lists this ribosomal RNA (468 nucleotides) under uncultured bacterium. RNAcentral's name for it is "partial 16S ribosomal RNA". It matches the Rfam family "Bacterial small subunit ribosomal RNA", at positions 28 to 507 of the family's 1533-position model. The record is from RNAcentral.
GACGAACGCUGGCGGCGUGCUUAACACACGCAAGUCGAACGGAAAGGCCCUGCUUUUGUGGGGUGCUCGAGUGGCGAACGGGUGAGUAACACGUGAGUAACCUGCCCUUGACUUUGGGAUAACUUCAGGAAACUGGGGCUAAUACCGGAUAGGAGCUCCUGCUGCGUGGUGGGGGUUGGAAAGUUUCGGCGGUUGGGGAUGGACUCGCGGCUUAUCAGCUUGUUGGUGGGGUAGUGGCUUACCAAGGCUUUGACGGGUAGCCGGCCUGAGAGGGUGACCGGCCACAUUGGGACUGAGAUACGGCCCAGACUCCUACGGGAGGCAGCAGUGGGGAAUAUUGCACAAUGGGCGGAAGCCUGAUGCAGCAACGCCGCGUGCGGGAUGACGGCCUUCGGGUUGUAAACCGCUUUCGCCUGUGACGAAGCGUGAGUGACGGUAAUGGGUAAAGAAGCACCGGCUAACUACGUG